UCCCUGGCGGUCAAGUGGUUAAGACUCUGUGCUUCCACUGCAAGGGGUGCAGGUUCAAUCCCUGGUCAGGGAA
RNAcentral lists this transfer RNA (73 nucleotides) under Ovis aries (sheep). It matches the Rfam family "tRNA". From Rfam's summary of the family: Transfer RNA (tRNA) molecules are approximately 80 nucleotides in length. Their secondary structure includes four short double-helical elements and three loops (D, anti-codon, and T loops). Further hydrogen bonds mediate the characteristic L-shaped molecular structure. tRNAs have two regions of fundamental functional importance: the anti-codon, which is responsible for specific mRNA codon recognition, and the 3' end, to which the tRNAs corresponding amino acid is attached (by aminoacyl-tRNA synthetases). tRNAs cope with the degeneracy of the genetic code in two manners: having more than one tRNA (with a specific anti-codon) for a particular amino acid; and 'wobble' base-pairing, i.e. permitting non-standard base-pairing at the 3rd anti-codon position. The record is from Rfam by way of RNAcentral. Lineage: Eukaryota; Metazoa; Chordata; Mammalia; Artiodactyla; Bovidae.